This 865-nucleotide long non-coding RNA is filed under the name Pan troglodytes (chimpanzee). RNAcentral's name for it is "long non-coding RNA NONPTRT014911". Lineage: Eukaryota; Metazoa; Chordata; Mammalia; Primates; Hominidae. The record is from RNAcentral.
GCCGUUUGACUGCAUGCUCCAGCCUCCUGUUUAUUGUGAUGCAACAUGGUUCUACGCAGGCAUACACACACACACACACGCUCACACUCACUCACACACACUCACUGCACACUCAUACACUCCCUCCCACACUCAUGCACUCACGCUCACACACACUCAUCACACAAUCAUACACUCCCUCCCACACUCACACCUGCUCACACUCACAUACACACUCAUCACACUUAUGCACUCCCUCCCACACUCACACACGCUCACAUACUCAUCACACACUCAUAAACACCCAGACUCACACACAGAUGCUCACACACACUCAUACAAUACCCCACACUCACAUGCUCACACUCAUCACACACCCCUACACUCACACUCUCACUUGUACUCACACACUCACAUGCCCAUGCAUGCACGCACACACUCUUUACACACACUACACACACUUACUAUGAUACACUCGCACACCCUCACACACACUCAUUACACACUCACAAGGUCACUUACACACACAUUCCUUCACACACUCAUCAAACACACACAUUCACUCACACACUCAUACACUCACAUACACAUGUAUCUCACACAACCCACACUCUCACACACAUUCACACACUCAAUAACUCACACACUGACAGGAAUAUUUUCUCAUUCACCCACACAAAAAAACCACUAGUUUUGAAACAAUUAGAUUCCCUGAGAAUUGAUGUCUCCCUGACACAAUCAUACUUUAAAAGGCAGGUCUUAAGUGAAGGGAUGACUUUAUCGUUUAAUUUUAUCAAUAGUUGGGCGUAAGUAAAACUUUCUUGAAUAGGAACUUACAGUACUGAUGAGAAAGACCCACAGGACUGUUCAUGAAUAAACAUGAAUG